UUGCCCUACGGGGCGCAGCAGUGGGGAAUCUUCCGCAAUGGGCGAAAGCCUGACGGAGCAACGCCGCGUGAUCGAAUGAAGGCCUUCGGGUUGUAAAGAUCUGUUGACAGGGACGAAUAAGCCAUGCGAAUAGUUUGGUGUAUGACGGUACCUGUUUAGAAAGCUCCGGCUAACUACGUGCCAGCAGCCGCGGUAAUACGUAGGGAGCAAGCGUUGUCCGGAUUCACUGGGCGUAAAGGGAGCGCAGGCGGCAUGGCAAGUCUGAUGUGAAAACCCGGGGCCCAACCCCGGGAGUGCAUUGGAAA
This 305-nucleotide ribosomal RNA is filed under the name uncultured bacterium. RNAcentral's name for it is "bacterial SSU rRNA". It matches the Rfam family "Bacterial small subunit ribosomal RNA", at positions 334 to 632 of the family's 1533-position model. The record is from RNAcentral.